This 550-nucleotide ribosomal RNA is filed under the name uncultured bacterium. Its description in RNAcentral is "bacterial SSU rRNA". It matches the Rfam family "Bacterial small subunit ribosomal RNA", at positions 355 to 896 of the family's 1533-position model. The record is from RNAcentral.
UAGGGAAUCUUCCGCAAUGGGCGAAAGCCUGACGGAGCAACGCCGCGUGAGUGAUGAAGGUCUUCGGAUCGUAAAACUCUGUUAUUAGGGAAGAACAUAUGUGUAAGUAACUGUGCACAUCUUGACGGUACCUAAUCAGAAAGCCACGGCUAACUACGUGCCAGCAGCCGCGGUAAUACGUAGGUGGCAAGCGUUAUCCGGAAUUAUUGGGCGUAAAGCGCGCGUAGGCGGUUUUUUAAGUCUGAUGUGAAAGCCCACGGCUCAACCGUGGAGGGUCAUUGGAAACUGGAAAACUUGAGUGCAGAAGAGGAAAGUGGAAUUCCAUGUGUAGCGGUGAAAUGCGCAGAGAUAUGGAGGAACACCAGUGGCGAAGGCGACUUUCUGGUCUGUAACUGACGCUGAUGUGCGAAAGCGUGGGGAUCAAACAGGAUUAGAUACCCUGGUAGUCCACGCCGUAAACGAUGAGUGCUAAGUGUUAGGGGGGUUCCGCCCCUUAGUGCUGCAGCUAACGCAUUAAGCACUCCGCCUGGGGAGUACGACCGCAAGGUUG